RNAcentral lists this ribosomal RNA (1133 nucleotides) under uncultured Weeksella sp. RNAcentral describes it as "bacterial SSU rRNA". It matches the Rfam family "Bacterial small subunit ribosomal RNA", at positions 197 to 1356 of the family's 1533-position model. The record is from RNAcentral. Lineage: Bacteria; Pseudomonadati; Bacteroidota; Flavobacteriia; Flavobacteriales; Weeksellaceae.
AUUUUGAAAGAUUUAUCGCAAUAGGAUAGGCAUUCGUAAGAUUAGUUAGCUGGUGAGGUAACGGCUCACCAAGACGAUGAUCUUUAGGGGGCCUGAGAGGGUGAACCCCCACACUGGUACUGAGACACGGACCAGACUCCUACGGGAGGCAGCAGUGAGGAAUAUUGGACAAUGGGUGGAAGCCUGAUCCAGCCAUCCCGCGUGUAGGAUGACGGCCUUAUGGGUUGUAAACUACUUUUAUCUGGGGAUAAACCUACUUACGUGUAAGUAGCUGAAGGUACCAGAAGAAUAAGCACCGGCUACUCCGUGCCAGCAGCCGCGGUAAUACGGAGGGCGCAAGCGUUAUCCGGAUUUAUUGGGUUUAAAGGGUCCGUAGGCGGAUUAAUCAGUCAGUGGGUGAAUCUCAUAGCUUAACUAUGAAACUGCCAUUGAUACUGUUAGUCUUGAGUGAUGUUGAAGUUGCUGGAAUGUGUAGUGUAGCGGUGAAAUGCUUAGAUAUUACGCAGAACACCAAUUGCGAAGGCAGGUGACUAAACAUUAACUGACGCUGAUGGACGAAAGCGUGGGGAGCGAACGGGAUUAGAUACCCUGGUAGUCCAUGCCGUAAACGAUGGAUACUUGCUGUUGGGCUUUCGGGUCCAGUGGCUAAGCGAAAGUUAUAAGUAUCCCACCUGGGGAGUACGUUCGCAAGAAUGAAACUCAAAGGAAUUGACGGGGGCCCGCACAAGCGGUGGAGCAUGUGGUUUAAUUCGAUGAUACGCGAGGAACCUUACCAAGGCUUAAAUGCAAUUUGACAGAACUAGAAAAAGUUUUUUCUUCGGACAGACUGCAAGGUGCUGCAUGGCUGUCGUCAGCUCGUGCCGUGAGGUGUUAGGUUAAGUCCUGCAACGAGCGCAACCCCUAUCAUUAGUUGCCAGCGUUUAAAGACGGGGACUCUAAUGAGACUGCCGGUGCAACCGCGAGGAAGGUGGGGACGACGUCAAGUCAUCACGGCCUUACGUCUUGGCUACACCGUGCUACAUGGUAAGUACAGAGGGCAGCUACUGGCACAAAUGCGAUCUCGAAACUUAUCUCAUUCGGAUGGAUCUGCACUCACUCUUGAACUGGAUCCCUAUAUCCAAUCACCCUGAGCG